This is a long non-coding RNA of Phyllostomus discolor (pale spear-nosed bat), 99 nucleotides long. RefSeq lists it as uncharacterized. Lineage: Eukaryota; Metazoa; Chordata; Mammalia; Chiroptera; Phyllostomidae. The record is from RefSeq and is a predicted model, not a curated record. The transcript is spliced from 3 exons.
AUGAAUGUCUUUAGCAGCUUUCCCCUGGCGUCCUUCUGUUGGGUAGGAGCUGAGGUCCCACAGCAGGCUGCAGAGCUGCAAUUUAGUUUUCUUAAGGUC